This is a long non-coding RNA of Panthera uncia (snow leopard), 280 nucleotides long. RefSeq lists it as uncharacterized. The transcript is spliced from 3 exons. Lineage: Eukaryota; Metazoa; Chordata; Mammalia; Carnivora; Felidae. The record is from RefSeq and is a predicted model, not a curated record.
UUUCAGAUUCCUAGAGAUGGAUAUGCAAGUUUUCAGUGAAUGCAAAUCAGGUGAGCCCACCCUGGAAGAGGAACUGUUAGUUUUCACUGCCAUUCCUGUCCUGUUAGCAUUACCUACCUUAUCAAGCUGGAGAGGAAAAUGGAAAUAGCCCCAGAUGAAAAAGAAGUGAAGGGACUUACAGAAGGACUCUCGCGCAGCCGAGCAAGUAUCCAGAGUGGUGGUGGGAUUACUUUAAGGUGGCUAUGAACCCAGAUGUUCACCAAGCAUUGUCCAUAAACCU